This 250-nucleotide ribosomal RNA is filed under the name uncultured bacterium. RNAcentral's name for it is "partial 16S ribosomal RNA". It matches the Rfam family "Bacterial small subunit ribosomal RNA", at positions 524 to 773 of the family's 1533-position model. The record is from RNAcentral.
CACGUAGGAGGCAAACGUUAUCCGGAUUUACUGGGCGUAAAGCGCGUGUAGGUGGUUUGGUAAGUAGGGCGUGAAAGCUCCUGGCUCAACUGGGAGAGGACGUUCUAAACUGCCAAGCUUGAGGAUGGUAGAGGGAGGUGGAAUUCCGGGUGUAGCGGUGGAAUGCGCAGAUAUCCGGAGGAACACCAGUGGCGAAGGCGGCCUCCUGGACCACUCCUGACACUCAGACGCGAAAGCUAGGGUAGCAAAC